ACAUCCAGAGAACUUAGCAGAGAUGCUUUGGUGCCUUCGGGAACUCUGAGACAGGUGCUGCAUGGCUGUCGUCAGCUCGUGUUGUGAAAUGUUGGGUUAAGUCCCGCAACGAGCGCAACCCUUAUCCUUUGUUGCCAGCGAUUCGGUCGGGAACUCAAAGGAGACUGCCGGUGAUAAACCGGAGGAAGGUGGGGAUGACGUCAAGUCAUCAUGGCCCUUACGAGUAGGGCUACACACGUGCUACAAUGGCGCAUACAAAGAGAAGCGACCUCGCGAGAGCAAGCGGACCUCAUAAAGUGCGUCGUAGUCCGGAUCGGAGUCUGCAACUCGACUCCGUGAAGUCGGAAUCGCUAGUAAUCGUGGAUCAGAAUGCCACGGUGAAUACGUUCCCGGGCCUUGUACACACCGCCCGUCACACCAUGGGAGUGGGUUGCAAAAGAAGUAGGUAGCUUAACCUUCGGGAGGGCGCUUACCACUUUGUGAUUCAUGACUGGGGUGAAGUCGUAACAAGGUAGGCGUAGAUGA
Molecule: ribosomal RNA, 525 nt
Filed under: uncultured bacterium
Lineage: Bacteria
Description: bacterial SSU rRNA
Rfam family: Bacterial small subunit ribosomal RNA
Source: RNAcentral